AGAGUUUGAUCCUGGCUCAGAUUGAACGCUGGCGGCAUGCCUUACACAUGCAAGUCGAACGGUAACGCGGGGCAACCUGGCGACGAGUGGCGAACGGGUGAGUAAUACAUCGGAACGUGCCCAGUAGUGGGGGAUAGCCCGGCGAAAGCCGNAUNAAUACCGCAUACGACCUACGGGUGAAANGCGGGGGGAUCGCAAGACCUCGCCCUAUUGGAGCGGCCNAUGUCANAUNAGCUAGUUUGGNGGGGUAAANCCCUACNANGGCGACGAUUUGUGGCUGGCCUGAGAGGACGACCAGCCACANUGGNACUGANACNCGCCNCACANUCUUAUGGGAGGCAGCNGUGG
RNAcentral lists this ribosomal RNA (348 nucleotides) under uncultured bacterium. Its description in RNAcentral is "partial 16S ribosomal RNA". It matches the Rfam family "Bacterial small subunit ribosomal RNA", at positions 8 to 357 of the family's 1533-position model. The record is from RNAcentral.